RNAcentral lists this transfer RNA (73 nucleotides) under Trichonephila inaurata madagascariensis. It matches the Rfam family "tRNA". From Rfam's summary of the family: Transfer RNA (tRNA) molecules are approximately 80 nucleotides in length. Lineage: Eukaryota; Metazoa; Arthropoda; Arachnida; Araneae; Nephilidae. The record is from Rfam by way of RNAcentral.
ACCCCUGUAGUGCAAUGGAUAGCACGUUGGACUUCUAAUCCAAAGGCAGUAGGUUCGAAUCCCACCUGGAAUG